This 497-nucleotide ribosomal RNA is filed under the name uncultured bacterium. RNAcentral describes it as "partial 16S ribosomal RNA". It matches the Rfam family "Bacterial small subunit ribosomal RNA", at positions 28 to 507 of the family's 1533-position model. The record is from RNAcentral.
GAUGAACGCUGGCGGCGUGCCUAAUACAUGCAAGUCGAGCGAACAGACGAGUAGCUUGCUCCUCUGACGUUAGCGGCGGACGUGUGAGUAACACGUGGAUAACCUACCUAUAAGACUGGUAUAACUUCGGGAAACCGGAGCUAAUACCGGAUAAUAUAUUGAACCGCAUGGUUCAAUAGUGAAAGCCGGUUUUGCUGUCACUUAUAGAUGGAUCCGCGCCGCAUUAGCUAGUUGGUAAGGUAACGGCUUACCAAGGCAACGAUGCGUAGCCGACCUGAGAGGGUGAUCGGCCACACUAGAACUGAGACGAGGUACAGACUCCUACGGGAGGAAGCAGUAGGGAAUCUUCCGCAAUGGGCGAAAGCGUGACGGAGCAACGCCGCGUGAGUGAUGAAGGUCUUCGGAUCGUAAAACUCUGUUAUUAGGGAAGAACAAAUGUGUAAGUAACUAUGCACGUAUUGACGGUACCUAAUCAGAAAGCCACGGCUAACUACGUG